Molecule: transfer RNA, 74 nt
Filed under: Acidobacteriota bacterium
Lineage: Bacteria; Pseudomonadati; Acidobacteriota
Description: Acidobacteria bacterium (activated sludge metagenome) tRNA-Arg
Rfam family: tRNA
About the family: Transfer RNA (tRNA) molecules are approximately 80 nucleotides in length. Their secondary structure includes four short double-helical elements and three loops (D, anti-codon, and T loops).
Source: RNAcentral
GCACCUGUAGCUCAGUUGGAUAGAGUAUCUGGCUUCGAACCAGAGGGUCGCAGGUUCGAGUCCUGCCGGGUGUA